AAAAAUAUCUAGAGGAUGGCCUACUUGUUUAUGAAAUGCUGCACUGUUGAUUCUGUUGAUUCCUUUUUUUUAAUUGUUUUUUUUUUCUUAUAAUUGCAGAAUUACUCUUUCUCUUCUGGAAUUGUACAAUACAAUUCAUCCAAAGAUGUUAAUAACCUGACAUUUGAGAGAGCAGAACAAUCUCUCUCAGAGCUGAAAAACCAGCUGGAUGAAGUCUGUGAAGAGCUCAUGGGCAAAAUAUUAAACAAAGUUUCUGAUGUCCAAAUAUUCAAAGAAACUGAAAGGUUCCAGAGCAUUCACCACUCUGAGAUGGAAGUAGGGAUGGAAGUGCAGAUGUGGGACAUUGAUGAUGACUACAUAUAUGGAUAGAUGGAGACGUUUACCUUGACAACACUUGAAAACAUCUGGACAUCAUCAUUCUUUUUCCUAGAUUACAAUAAGCCUGCAACAUACGUGAUGGUCUGCAUCUAUAGGAGCUCAUAUGGGUAGAUUACAUUACAUUAAAUAUUAUAAUUAGUAAUAUGGCUUUAAAAACUAUUACUCAUGUGGAAUUUGUAAAACAACUGUACCUUUUAAAAUCUUUUUAUUUUCAGUCAGUCAGCUGCACACACAGUUCCGUAAGCUACAGAGAAAGACAUGCCUUUGUUUGUGUUGUGAAUAAUUUUCCAAAACAUUCGAAUUGGACAAUGACUUGUCCAAUUCGAGCAACAUAAAAUAUUUCCAAAUUCCAGCACUAGGUGGUGCUAUAACAGAAAUGUUCUCAUAAUUCUGUAACCAUCUGGUGAUGGGAGUUGAAGUUCAGUGUUCUAUUUCUUUGUGAUAGAUAUGUUUACACAAAGAUCAUCUGUACAAAUCAACAAAAAAAUUAAAUGUUCCCAUUUCAACUGA
Ctenopharyngodon idella (grass carp) is the source of this 888-nucleotide long non-coding RNA. RefSeq lists it as uncharacterized. The transcript has 4 exons. Lineage: Eukaryota; Metazoa; Chordata; Actinopteri; Cypriniformes; Xenocyprididae. The record is from RefSeq and is a predicted model, not a curated record.